CUGGCAGCCUAGGAAUAGGGAUUAGGGAAGGGUGAGCUUUUGAUUCAAUGAUGGCCGCCAAAAGGGGAAGGGUCGUCAUCUGUCAUCACUCUAUCAUAAUUAUCAAGAUAAAUGGAGACAAAGCACAAAAAUAAAAAUCACCUUGGACUGGGAUCAAGGUGUUGCAAUAUACAAUGUCCUCUGAGGUUUAAUGGAAUUGGAAGCUUAAUGAAAUAAUGUGCUGAAUUGUUGACUUUUGAUCAGAAAGUAGUAACAAACGACACUAGUAAAAACAAAGUAUAUUUUGAAGAAGUAAUAUGUAUGUCUGUAGGAUUCGUUCAUUGCCGUCACCAUUCUCAAUGUGAUGCUACAUUAGAAGAGAAAAAAUAUAAGAGUAUGGCUUUUUACGUUGUCGUUAAAGGAAGGAAACGAGGUAUCUUUCGUUCAUGGCCUGAGUGUGAGUCUCAAGUAGAUGGUUAUCCUGGCUGUUUCUUCAAGAAAUUCACCAUUAGUAACUUUGGAUGUCGAGAGAAGGCUUCUGCAUCAGCAGCUCUCGAGUAUAAAAAACAUACAGCCAAUAAAAGACUCAGUGACAAAGAAGGAAGAACUUAUUUUGCAGUAGCAGAAGGCAAAGACAAAGUUACUGGAAUAUUUUUUAAGAAGGAAGACUGUGAUAUGCAUGUGAAUUGUUCAUUUCCCAUAUACAAGGGCUUUGAGACCCUACAAGAAGCAGCUGCAUUCAUAAUAUCUUGUUUGCAACAAAGAGCAGUGGAAUUCAAAAAGCAGUGUCCAGUUCGUUCAGAUAGAGUUCGUGAUUUACGAAAUUUACCCACUAGAUUUUUCAAGUGGCCUUUCCACGUCGAUAGUGAGGGAUUCGUGCAAGUGUAUGUUGACGGAUCUUGUUUCGAGAACGGGAAAAAUGGGGCAAAAGCUGGACUCGGGGUGUUCUUCGGGACUGGACAUGCGAUGAAUGUCAGCAAAGCUGUUCAAUCCGAUAGCACGCAAUCCAACAAUUCUGGGGAAUUGCAGGCCGUCAAAGAAGCCCUUCGAGUAGCUAAGCAAUGUGGGAUAAAGAAACUCAAGAUUCAUUCCGAUUCCCAGUACGUCAUUAAAUGCUUCAAAUAUUGGGUAAAAAGUUGGCAAGCUAAAGGAUGGACGACAUCUGCAUCGACACCUGUUAAAAACCAAAAGGUUAUCGAAGAAAUCUGCGACAUAUGGAAUUCCGAAAACAUUCAGAUCGAAUGGAAUUUCGUUCCAGCCCAUAGAGGGAUCAGGGGCAACGAAGCCGCAGAUAGACUUGCUAAAAUCGGGGCGAAGCGUGCUGUCCGCGGUACUCCUUAUUAACCUUCCACCACAUGGUCCCUUAUCGUUAUCAGUCAAGUACGUAAUUUACGAACGAGGGACCACUACAGCUUUAAAGCCACUGUAGCCCACUGUAAAUCCAUUGAUGGGGUCUAAACUCGGAAGAGGCUCAUUUUGUACAGGUUCAAAUCGAAACUUUUUGAUCAAAGCAGCCGUGAAGAGAAAAUAGCAAAGAAUUGUUCCGUUGAUUAAUACCAAUGCCAAACGGAUAGAAGUGAUCACUUUUAAUCACUUUCGUGCCAUCUUCAUUCAAAUGGCGUUC
This 1603-nucleotide unclassified non-coding RNA is filed under the name Daphnia pulicaria. RNAcentral describes it as "ribonuclease H1-like, transcript variant X2". Lineage: Eukaryota; Metazoa; Arthropoda; Branchiopoda; Diplostraca; Daphniidae. The record is from RNAcentral.